GUUGCAGUCCUGCGCCGCUGAGGUAGCUGUGCCGCAGGGACGCCUGGGAGUUGCAGUCCAGCGCCGCUGGAGGUGCUGUGCCGCGUUGCCGCCUGGGAGUUGCAGUCUAGCGCCGCUCAGGGGGCUGUGCUGCGGGGUGGCCUGGGAGUUGCUGUCCAGCGCGAGAAGGCACGGAAAACAGACGUUUUCGAGUGGGCCUCGGCUGGAAGCUAAUUGCCGCUGUGUUGAGCGUCGCUGUAGAAGCUGCCUGGUGGACUCCAGGAAAGAGAAGUAAGCACUACAAUUCAUUUCCGAGUCCUAAGCAGCACUUCCUCAGCAAAAGUAUCGCCCACGCCCGGGCUCGGCUCGUUGUCCACGCCCUCCAGCCCAUUGGGGCACGCGCUUCUGCGGGCAGAAGCCCAAAGUGUCAAACCGGUGAGCUGCUACAGACACUGAGGGGUUACUGGCCAAGGAGGAAGGUAACUCAGAGUACAGCAUGAAGGAGGAAUUCUCCGUCUCCAUGAGAUCUUGAUUUGGAAGCAUCUUGGAAGAUCCAGGACCUGGAACACAUGGAGGUAGUGUCUUGGUGUGUAGAAAACAAAGCUUCCCAAGUAAGAUGAGAAUAUCCUCAGGUGGGGGCACAUGGC
RNAcentral lists this long non-coding RNA (626 nucleotides) under Cavia porcellus (domestic guinea pig). RNAcentral's name for it is "lncRNA (ENSCPOG00000038720.1)". Lineage: Eukaryota; Metazoa; Chordata; Mammalia; Rodentia; Caviidae. The record is from RNAcentral.